This 621-nucleotide ribosomal RNA is filed under the name Bacillus sp. (in: firmicutes). Its description in RNAcentral is "bacterial SSU rRNA". It matches the Rfam family "Bacterial small subunit ribosomal RNA", at positions 60 to 662 of the family's 1533-position model. The record is from RNAcentral. Lineage: Bacteria; Bacillati; Bacillota; Bacilli; Caryophanales; Bacillaceae.
AGUCGAGCGGAGUUUUGAAAGCUUGCUUUUCAAAACUUAGCGGCGGACGGGUGAGUAACACGUGGGCAACCUGCCCUUGAGACGGGGAUAACUCCGGGAAACCGGAGCUAAUACCGGAUAACACAUAUCUUCGCAUGAGGAUAUGUUAGAAGGUGGCUUUUAGCUACCACUCAAGGAUGGGCCCGCGGCGCAUUAGCUAGUUGGUGAGGUAACGGCUCACCAAGGCGACGAUGCGUAGCCGACCUGAGAGGGUGAUCGGCCACACUGGGACUGAGACACGGCCCAGACUCCUACGGGAGGCAGCAGUAGGGAAUCUUCCGCAAUGGACGAAAGUCUGACGGAGCAACGCCGCGUGAGUGAUGAAGGUUUUCGGAUCGUAAAGCUCUGUUGUUAGGGAAGAACAAGUACCUGUUAAAUAAGCAGGUACCUUGACGGUACCUAACCAGAAAGCCACGGCUAACUACGUGCCAGCAGCCGCGGUAAUACGUAGGUGGCAAGCGUUGUCCGGAAUUAUUGGGCGUAAAGCGCGCGCAGGCGGUUCCUUAAGUCUGAUGUGAAAGCCCACGGCUCACCGUGGAGGGUCAUUGGAAACUGGGGAACUUGAGUGCAGAAGAGGAGAGC